UACGUAGGGGGCGAGCGUUGUCCGGAAUCAUUGGGCGUAAAGAGCUCGUAGGCGGCUUGGCAAGUCGGAUGUGAAAACUCCAGGCUCAACCUGGAGCCGCCAUUCGAUACUGCUAUGGCUAGAGUCCGGUAGGGGAGUGUGGAAUUCCCGGUGUAGCGGUGAAAUGCGCAGAUAUCGGGAGGAACACCGAUGGCGAAGGCAGCACUCUGGGCCGGCACUGACGCUGAGGAGCGAAAGCGUGGGAGCGAACGAGG
RNAcentral lists this ribosomal RNA (254 nucleotides) under uncultured bacterium. RNAcentral's name for it is "partial 16S ribosomal RNA". It matches the Rfam family "Bacterial small subunit ribosomal RNA", at positions 524 to 777 of the family's 1533-position model. The record is from RNAcentral.